UGAGCAAUCUGCCCUUCUCAUCGGAAUAAGCGUUGGAAACGACGUCUAAUGCCGAAUACGACCUCCUUUCGCAUGAUCGGAGGUGGAAAGCUCCGGCGGAGAAGGAUGAGCUCGCGGCCUAUCGGCUAGUUGGUGUGGGUAAUGGCCCACCAAGGCGACGACGGGUAGCCGGCCUGAGAGGGUGACCGGCCACACUGGGACUGAGACACCGGCCCAGACCUCCGUACGGGAGG
Molecule: ribosomal RNA, 233 nt
Filed under: uncultured bacterium
Lineage: Bacteria
Description: partial 16S ribosomal RNA
Rfam family: Bacterial small subunit ribosomal RNA
Source: RNAcentral